UACGUAGGGGGCAAGCGUUAUCCGGAAUUACUGGGUGUAAAGGGAGCGUAGACGGUAAUGUAAGUCUGGAGUGAAAGCCCGGGGCCCAACCCCGGGACUGCUCUUGGAACUGCGUGGCUGGAGUGCAGGAGGGGCAGGCGGAAUUCCUGGUGUAGCGGUGAAAUGCGUAGAUAUCAGGAGGAACACCGGUGGCGAAGGCGGCCUGCUGGACUGCAACUGACGUUGAGGCCCGAAAGCGUGGGGAGCAAACAGG
This 253-nucleotide ribosomal RNA is filed under the name uncultured bacterium. RNAcentral describes it as "partial 16S ribosomal RNA". It matches the Rfam family "Bacterial small subunit ribosomal RNA", at positions 524 to 776 of the family's 1533-position model. The record is from RNAcentral.